RNAcentral lists this ribosomal RNA (378 nucleotides) under uncultured soil bacterium. Its description in RNAcentral is "bacterial SSU rRNA". It matches the Rfam family "Bacterial small subunit ribosomal RNA", at positions 26 to 428 of the family's 1533-position model. The record is from RNAcentral.
AGAACGAACGCUGGCGGCAUGCCUAAUACAUGCAAGUCGAACGAACUCUUCGGAGUUAGUGGCGCACGGGUGCGUAACGCGUGGGAAUCUGCCCCUUGGUUCGGAAUAACAGUUGGAAACGACUGCUAAUACCGGGUGAUGACGAAAGUCCAAAGAUUUAUCGCCAAGGGAUGAGCCCGCGUAGGAUUAGCUAGUGGUGAGGUAAAGGCUCACCAAGGCAACGAUCCUUAGCUGGUCUGAGUAGGACGAUCAGCCACACUGGGACUGAGACACGGCCCAGACUCCUACGGGAGCAGCAGUAGGGAAUAUUGGACAAGUGGGACGAAAGCCUGAUCCAGUCAAUCGCGCGUAGAGUGAUGGAAGGUCCUUAGGUAGUAA